RNAcentral lists this ribosomal RNA (400 nucleotides) under uncultured archaeon. Its description in RNAcentral is "bacterial SSU rRNA". It matches the Rfam family "Archaeal small subunit ribosomal RNA", at positions 71 to 473 of the family's 1478-position model. The record is from RNAcentral.
UCGGCGCUCGGGGGACGGGUCAGGGGCACGUGGAUAAUCUACCCUAAGGUGGAGGAUACCUCGGGAAACUGAGAAUAAUACUCCAUAAGUCUAGGAUACUGGAAUGUACUUAGGCUGAAAACUUCGGUGCCCUAGGAUGAGUCUGCGUACUAUCAGGUUGUAGUCAGGGUAAACACCUGACUAGGGUAGACUUUAUACGGGUUGUGAGAGCAAUAACCCGGAGAUGAGGUCUGAGACACGAUAUCAGGCCCUACGGGGCGCAGCAGGCGCGAAAACUUCACACUGCGCGAAAGCGCGAUGAGGGAAUCCCAAGUGCUUGCACGUAAGUGUAAGCUGUUUCUAUGUCUAAAACGCAUAGAGAGUAAGAGUUGGGUAAGACGGGUGCCAGCCGCCGCGGUAA